RNAcentral lists this ribosomal RNA (253 nucleotides) under uncultured bacterium. Its description in RNAcentral is "partial 16S ribosomal RNA". It matches the Rfam family "Bacterial small subunit ribosomal RNA", at positions 524 to 776 of the family's 1533-position model. The record is from RNAcentral.
UACGUAGGGUGCAAGCGUUGUCCGGAAUUACUGGGCGUAAAGCGUGCGCAGGCGGUUUUGUAAGUCUGACGUGAAAGCCCCGGGCUCAACCUGGGAAUUGCGUUGGAGACUGCAAGGCUUGAAUCUGGCAGAGGGGGGUAGAAUUCCACGUGUAGCAGUGAAAUGCGUAGAGAUGUGGAGGAACACCGAUGGCGAAGGCAGCCCCCUGGGUCAAGAUUGACGCUCAUGCACGAAAGCGUGGGGAGCAAACAGG